UGGGGAAUAUUGGGCAAUGGGGGAAACCCUGACCCAGCAACGCCGCGUGAAGGAAGAAGGCUUUCGGGUUGUAAACUUCUUUGACAGGGGAAGAAUUUUUGACGGUACCCUGAAAACAAGCCACGGCUAACUACGUGCCAGCAGCCGCGGUAAUACGUAGGUGGCAAGCGUUGUCCGGAUUUACUGGGUGUAAAGGGCGUGUAGGCGGGUCUGCAAGUCAGAUGUGAAAUACCACGGCUCAACCGUGGGACUGCAUUUGAAACUGCAGGUCUUGAGUGAUGGAGAGGCAGGCGGAAUUCCUAGUGUAGCGGUGAAAUGCGUAGAUAUUAGGAGGAACACCAGUGGCGAAGGCGGCCUGCUGGACAUUAACUGACGCUGAUGCGCGAAAGCGUGGGGAGCAAACA
RNAcentral lists this ribosomal RNA (404 nucleotides) under uncultured prokaryote. Its description in RNAcentral is "bacterial SSU rRNA". It matches the Rfam family "Bacterial small subunit ribosomal RNA", at positions 355 to 774 of the family's 1533-position model. The record is from RNAcentral.